Molecule: ribosomal RNA, 213 nt
Filed under: uncultured Sorangium sp.
Lineage: Bacteria; Pseudomonadati; Myxococcota; Polyangiales; Polyangiaceae
Description: partial 16S ribosomal RNA
Rfam family: Bacterial small subunit ribosomal RNA
Source: RNAcentral
UACGGGAGGCAGCAGGGGGGAAUCUUGGGCAAGGGGGGAAGGCAUGUCGCAGCCACCCCGCCUGAGUGAGGAAGGCCCUCGGGUUGUAAAGUUAUGUGGAGGGGACCGAAUAAGGGCCGCCGAACCCCAGGCUGGAUGACGGUACCCCUUUAGCAAGCACCGGCUAACUCUGUGCCAGCAGCCGCGGUAAGACAGAGGGUGCAAACGUUGUUC